This 506-nucleotide ribosomal RNA is filed under the name uncultured bacterium. RNAcentral describes it as "partial 16S ribosomal RNA". It matches the Rfam family "Bacterial small subunit ribosomal RNA", at positions 29 to 523 of the family's 1533-position model. The record is from RNAcentral.
AUUGAACGCUGGCGGCAGGCCUAACACAUGCAAGUCGGACGGUAGCACAGAGGAGCUUGCUCUUCGGGUGACGAGUGGCGGACGGGUGAGUAAUGUCUGGGAAACUGCCCGAUGGAGGGGGAUAACUACUGGAAACGGUAGCUAAUACCGCAUAACGUCGCAAGACCAAAGUGGGGGACCUUCGGGCCUCACACCAUCGGAUGUGCCCAGAUGGGAUUAGCUGGUAGGCGGGGUAACGGCCCACCUAGGCGACGAUCCCUAGCUGGUCUGAGAGGAUGACCAGCCAGACUGGAACGGAGACACGGGCCAGAUUCCUACGGGAGGCAGCAGUGGGGAAUAUUGAACAAUGGGCGCAAGCCUGAUGCAGCCAUGCCGCGUGUAUGAAGAAGGCCUUUGGGUUGUAAAGUACUUUCAGCGGGGAGGAAGGUGCUGAGGUUAAUAAGCUCAGCAAUUGACGUUACCCGCAGAAGAAGCACCGGCUAACUCCGUGCCAGCCGCCGCGGUAA